This is a non-coding RNA of Lolium perenne, 568 nucleotides long. The record is from RefSeq and is a predicted model, not a curated record. Lineage: Eukaryota; Viridiplantae; Streptophyta; Magnoliopsida; Poales; Poaceae.
CAUGGCCGGGGAUCCGCUUGAAGAAUGGCAAUGACGAGGUGGAACUCCUGCAUCCUCCGACCCUGGAUUUUAUUGCUGGUUUACUGGUUUUAGUUCAGAUGGAAGAUCUCCAGGAUUAGGAAGGUGAUUUCUCUCGUCAGACAAAUAUGGCAUUCAGGAUGUAAUCAGUGGUAUUUUAGGAAAGGCAUGGACAAUAUUUUUAUAGGUUCAGCGCUGGUAACUUUUUCCUUACCAUUGAAGAUCAUAUUUCUAGCGGUAAUGUACAUGUUGAUUUGAAGUUAAAAGUGAAAGUGAUGAGUUGACAUGAAUUUUGUGUGACAGGCUGCUAAUGCUUCGCUCUGCUCGCUAUGGAUAUGUCGGCCGGCGCCAACUUCUUCCUCCCCAUCGGCCAGGUGACCUUGUUGACUCCUCCCUCUUCACCGGCCAGCCCAACUCGCCGGCACCUCCCACCUCACCGGCCCAGGAGAGAUCCCCUCCCUCAAUGUCGCCGCGUCCUGUGCUCGCCGCCGUCCAUGAGCCGAUUCCGCAGUGCAGAUGAGCCUGAAGGUAAAGUUGCUUUCAGUUGCUU